UACGAAGGGGGCUAGCGUUGCUCGGAAUCACUGGGCGUAAAGCGCACGUAGGCGGCUCUCUAAGUCAGGGGUGAAAUCCUGGAGCUCAACUCCAGAACUGCCUUUGAUACUGGAGAGCUCGAGUCCGGAAGAGGUGAGUGGAACUCCGAGUGUAGAGGUGAAAUUCGUAGAUAUUCGGAAGAACACCAGUGGCGAAGGCGGCUCACUGGUCCGGUACUGACGCUGAGGUGCGAAAGCGUGGGGAGCAAACAGG
RNAcentral lists this ribosomal RNA (253 nucleotides) under uncultured bacterium. RNAcentral describes it as "partial 16S ribosomal RNA". It matches the Rfam family "Bacterial small subunit ribosomal RNA", at positions 524 to 776 of the family's 1533-position model. The record is from RNAcentral.